RNAcentral lists this long non-coding RNA (14494 nucleotides) under Homo sapiens (human). RNAcentral describes it as "HSALNT0365180". Lineage: Eukaryota; Metazoa; Chordata; Mammalia; Primates; Hominidae. The record is from RNAcentral.
GCCCCCGGCGCCGGCACGCGGACCCGAACGAGGCGACAAGGUCGGUCCUCCCCCGCCGGGCCUUCCCCGCGCUCCCCGGCGCCCCCAGCCCGCUGACCCCCGGCCAGGCAGGCCCGCGGGGGAGGCAGGACCGGAGCCCUGAGGCCCUGGCCGGCCUCGGGGUUGAGGCUCAGCUCGGGAUAAGUGAUCUUUGGGGCCCGCAGAGGACGUCUCCCCAAGACCCAGUGGCAACCGGGUGAGCUUCCCCCAAGGCACCAUUACACUUCCUAACUCUUGAGGGGGCUGCAAACCAUUUUGAGAACGUGAUGAAAGCUCUUCUCUCUUCAGGGCGAAAUACGUAUAUGCACAAACUUUUGUCUAGAGUUCCGGGGGUACUCAGGCCUUCGUGAAGACCCAAACUCAUGCAGUCUGUGGAGGUCAAUGUGCCCAGGUUAAGAAGAUGGACCUUCACGGCCUAGGGGCUGAGCUGCCCUCCUCAAAACAGUCCUGUUUGGCUUCUUUCAAGAGAGGCAGUGCUCAUGUUUUAUAAGGUCCAAUAGGUCACCUUCUCAUUUGGCUCCUGAAAAGAACCUUUUCUGGUCUCUUCUAACCAAUUACCCAGCUCCGGCUCUCCCAUUCUCAAAUUUGACUUGUUUUGGGGAGCUGGGGAGAAAGCAAUACAAUAGUGGGGAAAUAGGCGCUCAGCUGGCAUGGGGCGAGUGUUCUACUCUGGCGUCAAGCACAGCCAUGCUGGAAGAUCAGGGGUCUUUAGAUUUCGUUUCUGAUGCCCCACCCCUCCACCUAACAGGGAAGCUCACGAAUCUGCCUAGAGAAAGUAUCUUGUUUGGAGCUUGCUGGCUAUUUUUAGCCAGUAUUUUUAGCAUUUAAAAAUACUCCAAGAGGCAGCAGUGUAUGCUGUUACUCAUCUGUGGGCUCCUUCUGUUCCUUCUGGUGUGCUCAUCCCCACAUGUACACGCACACAUGACCACAGCUACAUGGGGACUGUGUCCAGGACACACGUAUGGCAGUACCCCAGGCCACCGACAAAGCAGCAAUUUCAUGCUAAUGAGAGAGGGAUGGGGACAGGGACAGGAACCACAGGCAGUCUGCUUGUGAUCAGUGAGAGUGGGCAUGUGAGGAGUGGUGAUCUCUACAGUCACUGUCCUCACCCAGACUCUGACUGAAUCUGGACCCCGGACAAACUGCAGCAGCCUUUCUCCAAGCCUCCUUUCCAGCCAAACGCUUUCAAGCCAGCCCUACACCAUCUGAAGCAAUGUUUGCAUCUGAUCUCAUCACUCUUCUGUCCUGAAACAACUAGAGCACCUGCCCUUGCAUCCAGCCCCGAAGCCUCAGGUAGCCUUUCUCUAAGGCUGUUUGUCCACAGGCCCACCACCCUCAGUCUUUGACCACUGCUGUCAACCAGCCUGUGCUUAUCCUCUGCUGAAAAACCAAAACUGCCACUCAUUAAGUACUUAUUAGAUCCCAGGCACUGGGUUAAGGGUUUUAUAUAUAUUAUCCCAGUUAAUUUCUAUAACAUCAUGCUGUAGUAACUAUUACCUCUAUUUUAUUUGUUUUGUUUUUUUUUUUUUUGAGACGGAGGCUUGCUCUGUCGCCCAGGCUGGAGUGCAGUGGCACGAUCUCGGCUCACUGCAACCUCUGCCUCCCGGGUUCAAACAAUUCUCCUGCCUCAGCUUCCUGAGUAGCUGGGAUUACAGGUGCGCACCACCACGCCUGGCUAAUUUUUGUAUUUUUAGUAGAGACGGGGUUUCACCAUGUUGGCCGAGCUGGUCAUGAACUCCUGACCUCAAGUGAUCCGCCCACCUCAGCCUCCCAAAGUGCUGGGAUUACAGGCGUGAGCCACCACGCCCGGCCUAUUACCUCUGUUUUAUAGGUGAAGGACCUUAAGCCUAGAGAGGUCAAAUGACUUUCCAGGACUGCAAAGUUAAUAAAUGACAAUGUGGGGCUUUGUCUUACAGCAAAACCCAUGCUUUUAACAGGAAAUUCUGGGAUGUACUUCCUGCUCUCUGCCAAUUACCUACUUGUAAAUUCUGCCUAAAAUUUGCAUCUUCCAAAAGCCUUCCCUAAUUAACUCCACCCAUCUCUAAACUCUCCAUUACUGCAUAUCGUCAGUCUAUGCGCAUUCAGUUUGCAUGGUGUUAAUCUAUCUUAAUAUGUUUAUCUUUGCUUUAUAAGUGUUUCAAAGAGUCCUAUAAAUGGUCUUGUGUGUGGCUUGUCUUGGUUUUGCCAGCACACUGAAACCUCCUCAAGGGCAGGGUUGUGGGUUCUCUUGGUGGGUUCUUAAUAAAUGGUGUUGAUCUUGUCUCUAAAGAGGGCCAGACCAGGCUCUGCUAGGAAUCCUGGGAGUCACACUAAGCCUCAGAGGGUGGGGUGUGAGUCUGCUUUUGCAUGUUGAACACAUGUGCUGCUGGGCUUGGGGGGACCUGCCCAAGAGGUGCUCACCCACUAUAGCAUUUGGCCUGUUUCCCCAUGACUUAGACACAGUGAUGUAAGCACUCCCACCCAGGACAUCUGGGUGUUCUGCCAGCUUGCUCUCCCUCUUCCCUGGGAUUUAGGAGGUUAGAGGGGUUGCCAGGAGCAGGGAGGGCCAGAUGCAGAAAGCUUUAGCGUGGGAGCACUUUGAGAAGUCUGGGGUUGGGGGAAAGAAUUCACACAGAGUCCAGUCUAGUCAAGCAGGUCCGACUGCUGCAGGACACGGCCACAAAGGACCUUGGCUCAUCUCUCGGCCAGCCAGGUCUCUGUGAGACCCUUUCUCUUCACUGCCAUUCUCGGAGUGGGAUGGAUACAAAGGAUAGAGGCUUCUGGCAUCUGAAUCUGGCUCUGGCUCAGUGACUCUCUGUGCUUCAAAUACACAAAGCUAAACUGAGCUGGGCUCAUUCCUGCAUCCUGACUGCCGUUCCUCAGAACCUGGGCUUGGCCUGCUUCCCUAUAGGAUAAGUAAUUUUUGUCACCUUAAAUCCUUCCUGGCAUGAGAUGGAGUGAUAUAAAUGAAAGUUAGGGCUAGCUCUAUGAGGGCGGGGACUGAGAGUAUUCUGCUUCUCUCAGAUCUGCGUGGGCAGCUUAGGCCAGGGUUUGGUGACACUGCUGGGGCUAAGGCAGAUGUCUUAAAGCCUGGCUCCCAGCAUGUGCCUGCGAUUACCACCGCAAAUGGACAGACCGGUGGCCUGAUUGAUUGAUGGAUGAAAAGGUAGGGGCUCUGAGUCCUUGUUAGGGGUUGGGCUUUUGCCCCACAGUGCACCUUGGGGAGAGAGGGUCAGCCCAUCCUCCCCACUCUCUGUAGGAAGGUCUGCUUCCCUGCAUGACGUGGACCCCAAGAGGCCAAAAGCUCUGUGCACCUUUGAGCCCAGGCAGUCUGGCCUGAACCAGCUGGAUUCCAGAGGCCCACACACCUCCUUCUUUUGCAUGUGUCUCCGUCUGGGGCGCUAGUUUUAUGUACGUAUUGAGGUGAGAGAGUACAAGGGGCCACGUGUGCAGCUUUGGGCUCUGAACAUGAUGUUCAUUUCUGCAGCUGGUGGUCAGUGGAGCGGCUCCCCCAGGGGCAAGGAACAUUUUGCCAGGCUUGGAUUAACUUCUGCAUUGCUGAGCCCCACCCCAGCACCACAUUAACUCAUGAAGACAUCCUGGAGUGGGGGUGGAGGAGGAGGCGGGAGGAUGGUGCUGGGCACCGAUUGAGAAAUUGAGCCUGGAUAAGGCAGUACCAAGGCUAACGGCCAGGAUACAGCCCACAGCCGGUCUGCAAGGGAUGGAGACAUCAGUGUCUUGCUGAUUCUAGUCACAAACCGCAAACCCACUGCCCUUUCCUUCGCAGCAGCUAGUACAGCUCCUGGCCAAGGGGCCCCUCUGGCUUAAGGUCCUUUAGUGACCUUCUCAUGCUGCCAACACAGAUUCAUGACCUCAGGAAGUUCAACCUCCUUAGGGUGGCUUAGUGAUCCCGGGGUGGGAGUAGGUAAGGACAGACCCCAGGAUCUCAGGCUGCCAAGCUAGACAAACAAGGCAGCAGGGAUACAGGCCAGUGUGGCUGCGUGAACGGAGCGAGAACAUGAGGGACGAGAGGCGAGUUGUACUUCUCACCUAGGAGCUCCAGGACAGCCCCUGCUAUCCGCAAUUUGUUCUCUUUGGAGUAACCUCCGCUCACUGCAGGGCAGCAUUCAAGUCCAAAGUCCCACCCCAGGGAAAAAUCACAUGACCUCAGCUUAUAUAAUCUCCCUGUCACUGAACAGCUGGAACCCAAGGCUUCGGAAGAUGAGUCAGCAGCCCCAGUGGCAAAUAGGACCCAGGUAUUCAGUUUCCCAGACCUUUUGCUCCUAGAAACAGGUCCUAGAGCGGAGGGCAAGGGUGUGGAAGAGACUGGGUGGGUGAGAAUAGGCUGGGCCAGACUCUGAGCCUCAGCCCUGGCUCUGCCUCCGAGUUGCAGGUGCCCAGCUUGCUGACUGUGCUCUGGAGGGCCCUGGGCCAACCCCUGGAUCUUCUUGGGGAGAGGAGAGGGUGGCCUGGGCAGGGUGGGGCAAGGGCUGGGCAGAGGCCAGCGGGCAGAAUGCCAGGGCUAGGGAGGAGCAGCUGGAGGGGUGGAGCUGAGGGGGAUUAGGAAGGAUUGUAGGGGUUAAAGCGCAGCCCUGGCAGGGCUCAAUGGGAACAGCUCGUCCUUCCAUAGACCCCGGGAACAGGAGAAGUGGGGCAGAGUAGGGAGAUGACAGGGUUGGGACUGGGGCUCCUGGGUCUCUGCAGGGCUGAGCCACCUGAGCUGGCUUGGAGUCCCCACUUGGGUUAGUGAACACUUUUUUUCCACCAUCACUGUUCCUCCUCUCUGCAUUUUAAGCAGAAGGUGAAGUCUCAGGGGAGGCCCUCAUUAUACAAGUGCUGAGCUGCGCCCCCCUGGCCUGGCAUUUUGUUGGUGCUUACACAAGCAUGGGGAGGGGAUAAUUCUGAAUUUAUGUGGCGCCCCCUGCCACCCGCCCCUGCCCCCCGCCAGCUCUGUGCUCAUGCUCAGCUGAGUCUGUGAUAUUCAAAGUUCGUGUUGCCUAUUACUGUUAAUGAGGGAAAGAAGUCUGGCUAGAACUGUUCUCCCUGGUCACAGCCUGCUGUUGACCUCCCUUAAUGAAUGCCAGCUGUAGCUCCAGUCAGCUAUCCUGAGAAUCCCCUGGGACACAGGAUGUACUUUUUUUUACCUCUGUUUCUCCCACGGGGUUGGUGGGGAGGGGGCUUCCUACUCUAGUCAGCUGCCAAACGCCCCCUUUCUAUGAUCUCUUUUCCCCCCUUAAGUUUAAAUGACCUCUUCUGCAGCAUUUUAUUGAUUUCACAUUCCUCCACCUUCAUUAUUUGCUUUGAGCCUCAUGGCAUGCUUGAGAGGUGGGCAGGGCGGGCGUGAUUGUUCCCUUUUAUAGUCUAGGAAAUACAGCCCAGCUGAUAGGUGUCCAAGGUUAGAGAGGCCAACUGUUCCUUCCACUGGUCACGAGCAGCCCGUCCCAGCCUCAGAUGACCUCUCCCUUUCCGUCCACCUGUGACACUCAAGAACACCCAGGGCUGCCUCCCAUUGUACCUAUUUAAGAACUUCUUCUUGGCCAGGCGUGGUGGCUCACACCUGUAAUCUCAGCGCUUUGGGAGGCCGAGGCGGGUGGAUCACCUGAGGUCAGUUCAAGACCAGCCUGGCCAACAUGGUGAAACCCCGUCUCUACUAAAAAUACAAAAUUAGCCUGGUGUGGUGGUACACGCCUGUAGUCCUAGCUACUUGGGAGGCUGACACAGGAGAAUCACUUGAACCUGGGAGGUGGAGGUUGUAGUGAGCCGAGAUCGCACCACUGCACUCCAACCUGAGUGAGACAGAGCGAGACUCCAUCUCCAAAAAAACAAAACAAAACAAACUUAUUUCCCUAAGUGAAUUGUGAAGGCACUGAAGGCAGGGACUGUUGCUCGCACACAUCUCUUGCCUGCCAAAGCACCAGAAGGGUACAACAACGAGGACUAACAUUUACUAAGCAACAUGCCAGGCACUUUCACAUACAUUAUCUUUUCAUUCCUCAAGUAAUCUGUGAAGUGGGAACUAUGAUCACUCAUCUUACAGAGGAGGACACAAGUUCAGAAGCUAAGGGACCUAUCUGAGGUCACGCUGCUAGUAAGCUGAGCACCACAAAUGAGUGCCUCAGAAGGCAAGAUCCCCAGAUGGAGAUCUAGAAAGAAACUGGACCCAGUUUUAGAAAGAAGUGGUCCAGGCCGCACGAGCAGGGUUGUUCUCACCUCAGCAAGACGCACUCUGCUCCAGGAAAUGACGAUAAGGGGUGGAGAGAUCAGGGUGAGGUUAAAUAAAGGUCUUGUACUAUUGACCCUGGAGAGGCCUCUGCUGGUUGGCAGUAUCUUCUGGGGCAUGAGCUCAGAAUGAAACACUAGCUCAACUGCAGGGCAUUCCCGGCUAAAGUGCCUUAUGAGUUGCUUCUGGAUGAGGGUGGCUGAGUUUGUCCCAGGGCAAUCUGCCACUUCUUUGAGGUCCUCUCUCAAAAUUCCCUUCACCUUGGCCCUGGAGCCGGGGGGAGGAGCCAGGGUUGUCCCUUCUGGAGAGUUGGAGGGCGGCAGACUCCCAGGAGGGUUGGGCCAUGCCUGUGUGGGGAGGAGGCAGAUUCCCAGUGGAAUCUGAUCCCCAGUAAAGGGGAAUACUGCUGUCAUGAUUGGGGCUGAGGGUGGGUCUGUAGUUUAGUCUGCGCUGAGGUUUUCCAUCUCAGCAUGCCUAGAGAUCACCCAAAGAGCUUGUGGAAAGAGCAGCUUCCCAGGCCCCAUCCCGAGAGAGUUUGCUUCAGUGGGUUUGGAUGAAUCGUUAAGCCCUGCAGUGACUCUGACACAGGCAGUCUGCAGACCCCACUUUAAGGAGCACUGCUGACCAUGAAACAACCCUUCUCUUCUGAGCAAGGGGAGGGAGCCCCGCAGAGGCUUCUAGGACCCGAGCCCCUCCGAGGAGAGCCAUAUUCUAAUUGCCCUGGGGUUGAACAGCACCAGCCGAGUCCAAGUGAGUCCUGCUCCACUCCAAGCCCAGCACGCAGCACCCUGAGAGCUGAUACUUCCCCACCAUGCCAGCUCUGUUGUGACACAUCUCUCUUCUCCACUCCUUUCUACAGUGGAUCCAGCCCUGCCUUGUCAAGUUCUGAAUGUUCUGGGAGGCACCAGCGUUUCUAUCUCCUGUGCCACUUCACAGAUGGCACAACAAAGCCAAGACUCCCUAAGUCAUAUUAUCAAAGUUGCUCUCUCAAGACCUUUAGUUAUGCAAGCUUCAAGGUCCUGCCCCUAUUCCUGAACCCCUGCUGCAUUUGUCUGGAUCAGCCCUCCAAGCAGUAUUUCUUGCUGUGGCAUGCUGUUGUUUUCAAAAUGUAUUUGUCCUAGGAGUAGGGAGGGGUACAUAAGGUAAUGGAGGAGACACAGCAUCCAGCCCUUCUGCCCAUAUGCUUGCCUGUCCAUCUGUCCACCCGCCAUCUACCCGUGUAUCCACCCACCCACCACCCACACAUCCAUCCAUCCAUUCAUCCCUGCAAUCAGCAGGUCAGCCCCCAUUGUGGGAGGCACGUGGCAGGGGAUCUAGAGAUAGGAUUUCUUUUUCCUCCUCUGAGAGCUUGCCACCUAAUGGGCACACUAAUAACUACAGAAAAGGCAGAUGUCGUCAGUGCCCCAAGAGAGGCGUGUGCGGGCAUUAGUUGGCGAGCGAGCCCAUGCCAGCCCUUGGUCAGUCUCCAGCAGAGCCUCUUCCCUCAUUCCAGCUGAGGCAGGGCUGGAAUAGAGGUAUUGGAUUGUCUCAAGCCCUAGAUAAAAAUUUCUCCCCUACUUUCUCCAAAGCCAGAUGAUAAGCAUUGCUGUCUGAUACCCUGGUCCUGAGUAUGCCAGUGUCACUCAGAGGAGAGUCCCUCUUCCCCUGAUGUCUUAUGUCCAAAUGUAAAGCCAGGCCUUGGGGCUAGGGAAUAAAGCCUGCACAAGAGGGGAGAUGCAACCACAGCAAGGAGGCCCUCCUGCCACAGGGUGCACUGGUGGUCUGGGCCCCCCCGCAUCCAGCCCAGGUUGGGGCAAGGCCUGCAGGAGACACUGGCAUGUCACAUAGAAAAGGAGAAGGUGAGAAGAGUGGUUCAUUGGGCGCAGCAGAGCAUUCCUGAGAACACUACUGGACUAUCCUCGAGUGCGCGGGCCCUGAGUGGGCUUUCUAGGCAGAGUGGGAAGGCCCCUCCCCUCGGCACGGAGCCCCAGGGGCACCAGAUGUGCCAGGAUGACUUCUCUUGUUUGUCUCCACCAGGAGCAGCCUGUCAGUCAUCAGUCAGGUUGGGAGUCGAGCCCUCAGCCUGGCUGUUCUCCAUCAGUGGCUGCCUCCCCAGCCUAUCCCCGGUCCCCAAGGGUAAACUCACCAUGCCGUCUCUUCCCGGGGAGCUGGAGCGGCUGGGCCCAGGGGCCUGACCCUUUCCCGUCUCCCACAGCGUGUAGCGGCCAAUGGGUCGGUAGGUUGGGCUGAUGAUUUCAGGGACUCGUGAGGGAGGGGCCUGGGAGGGCACCUGAGAUGCACUGCCCUUGCGACCAUAGUUCUCCAGGUAGUCGACCAGGUAUUCAGGGCAGCUGGCUGUCUGGUAGAGCCCCUGCAGGGUGCAGAGCUCCUUGCGCGUCCGGGCCAGCAUGGGGCUGCGGCCCAGGUUCCUGGGGUCUAUCCGGUAGCUAUCUGAGGUCCGGAGGCUGGAGAAAUCCCGGGCCAGGUCUGAUUGGCUGUCCAGCUUCUGGGUUAGGGUCACCCCCUGGUCAUAGGCAUUGAUGGGCAGGUAGCUGAGGCAGUUGUUGGUCACUCCAUAAGGGAAUCCGCUGCCCCCGCUGAGGCCACUGCCUAAAGGCCGCUCAGUACCCCGGGUCUGGCUCUCUGCCCGCUUACCACCCCCAGUGAUGUCGGGUCUCAGCAGGGGGCGGCCCCGGUCAUAGUCCAGGAGGGAGGAGGGGCCAUAGGUACGGGGACGGGUGAGGAAGCUGCUGGUGGGGACCGGCUUGAAACCAAGUUUCUCCUUCUCCAGUAAGGAGGCAGCCAGAUUGGCCCCAUAGGAGGACGGGGUGUAGGCACCAUAGCCCGACUUGGCAUAGUGGGCAUCUGUGUAGCGGGCCGAUUCUGUGUAGCGCUUCAGGGUGGAGGAGAGCUGGGACAUCCUUCAGGGUGGCACUCAGUGGGGACUGGGAGCCUCAUGGGCUGAAAGACAAGGAGUGUAGUUGUCAGAGGGCCCUGCCAGGUGUCGGGCUCCCACAGACCUGCUCCCCAUCCUCAGCUGGGCCAGAACCUCAGAGCUCCCAGUCCAUUUCCACAAGAGGCAGGCUGGCUGCUGAGAAGCACACAUGCACGCAGGUGUGCACAGGAGCUUGCUUGCACCUGUGUGUUCACACCUCGGUGAGAGUGCGAGGGAUGAGGUGGCUUUUAUAUGCCACACAGGAAGUCAGCGCAUCCUGGCCAUUCAAAGACUCAAACACGCAAGCAGGGGCUAUCUGACCUCCACAGCCCACCAAGCCGUGCAGUCUUCCAGGUCAAAUCCCAUUGCCUCAGCAUCUGCAGAAACUCUUGAGCUGGGGGAAUGCCACUGACCCCUGGGUUGAGAAUGCUGGAUAUUUCAGGAGUUAAGACCACAUCUGUCCCUUCUGACUUAUGUGAUGAGCAGGUGUCUUUUUGGAAUCCUAGACUGUCUGUGCUGGAAUGACCUGAAGAUCAUUUGGUCAGAUCCCCUGUGAGGCCAAGGAGGCUCAGGGGAGGAAGUAAUGGGGUGUGGGUGGGCAGGGGAGGCCGUGAGUGAGCAUGCAACAAUGAGGGGCCAGAACGUGGUCUCCAGACCCUUUCCCCAGACACCAGCACCUGCUGCAUGGUCCCACAGUGAGGGACACUCACUUCACUGAGCUAAGCUUCUGUUCUAAGUGGAGUUAGGGCCCUGUGGCCUCCUAAGAGUUCCUCUACCAACACAGGCUUCCUCUACAAACACAGAUCUCAAAUUGGUCCUGGCGAUGCUUGUGCAAAGGGGGCCCCCUACAGUCCCAAAUCUUGCACUGCAGGUGGCAUUCCCAGUCCUUCCCUGCUCCAGUCCUGCAGCUGGGGAGGGUCUAGUGAAGGAACACAGACACUGCUGAAUGUGGAGCUUUGAGAGCCCCAGAGGAUCAUGAAUUUUAAUCUAUCUGUUAUACAGAUGGGAAAAGUGAUGCUUAUUUGCCCCCGGCCACACACCAGCAGAGCCAGGACUGGAAUCCAGGUCUUUAAAAUCCUGGCCAGUGUUCUUUCUACUUAACCUGGAGUUACCUCCCCCGCAUCAGAUUUAGGGUCAGUUGGGGACCCCCAGAGGCCUUCCAUCACCGUAAACGUGCAGCCUGUAUCCAAUGGAGCUGGAGUGGCAGAGGAGCAAGUAGGGUCAGACGCCUUUCCCCGAGGGCAUCAGGGGCUCUUGGGGGGCUUUCUAGGGGGAUGGAGCAGAGCCAUCCAGGACUCUCAGAGUUGUGGGACUUGCCCUGUGAUGGACUAGCUGGGUGAUUUUGCACUAGUCACGUAACCUCUCUGAGCCCCAACUUCCUCAUCUGUAAAUGAGUAAAACCAUCAUCCUCAUAAUUCCUACCUCACAGGGCUGUUGUGAGGAAUAAAUGAGAUAACAACACGUGAAGGGCUCCACAAUGACAGUGGCUACCAUCUCCUCCCCCAGCUACUGCGAGGCAGCAUGGCUCCGCCCUCUGAAGGUCUGUGAUAAUAUCAGGGCUGGCUGUCUCCCAGCCUGGCCAGCCUCUGGCCUCAGCUUGGGAUGCCAGGCCUCCCCCUGCAGCCCCCAGCGAGAGAAACAGGCAGUGGGCAGACAUCUGGCCACUCAGCAGACACUGGCUUGGCAACCCAGCCCAUUAGGGCAGAGAGGAGCUGGUGCCAAACCCCAAAUGCGAGGGCUUGGCAGAAAGCUCUAGAAUCCCAGUCCACACAAGGCUUUGGGGUAGGUACAGGGGUGAGAGAUGAGCAGGUGGCUUCCAUAUAGGCCCGGAACAGCAUUCCUUGACCCUGCCUGAGAACUCCAGCAGUUUUCAGUCCAGGCUGACAUCAGAAAGGCCUGGUCCAUCUUACUGUCUAGCCUUUUGCCACCUGGCCCAGGGGGCCCCUGGCCCUUCAUGUACACUCCUUUGCCCACUGUGCCCAGCACAACUUUCACCCCUUUCUAGGAAAAGGUAACUGGGGGAUGAUGUCACACAGCGUUAGAGGGAAACCAUAGCGGGAGAGACAGACAGAGGCACAGGGUCGGGGUGGGGGCCCAGUCCUGCCCUAUUUUGCUUUGGAGAACUCCAUCAAUAAUGCAAAGUCAAAGAGACUCCAGGUCUCAGGAGCUGGGCUCUGGGACACCAGGCAGCCAAUCAGAUACAAUCCCCCCAACAAGGGUAUGAGCUCAUGGCUCCUCCCCACAGCUCUCCCUCUCCCUCCCCCACAGUAAGGCUCUCAGGGAAUUGGUAUUCUUCGGGCAGCGCCCCAAGCCCGUGACAUCCCUUGACCCUGCUGAUGACGCAGAAGUGCUGGGGCCAAACGAGGUCCAGAGGACAGGGACAGACAGCUCUGAAAGGCUUUGGAGCCGGAGGUGGGGCCACAUCUCUGGCCCACAGAUUCCCAGGAGGGCUCCCAAAUCCCCACUCUCCCUCCCAUCUGGCAGGUGAUUGCCAGACCCCUCCGCCUCCUCCUAGCAGCCCUGGGAGUCAUGCCAUCACUAAUACUCCAUGGAAGCUGCCUCUCGGCUCUGACUUCUAGCUACAGUUCCCAUGCCUGCGGAGAGGGUUCCUACUGGGGCCGGGGCCUUCCACAUGUCUCUCCCCUCCCGCAACCCCCAGUUUCACUCUCAAAGGUCCUAGCACCUUCCAGGUGAAAGCACAGCCUGGGUUGGUGCCCCUUGGCAUUACCUGCACAGCUGUCCCUGGAGGCCACAGAAUGCACUAUGGGCAGGAGAGCGGGCUGGGGCCCUGGCCGGAGUCUCGCUGCGCAAGACAGGGACAGGACGGGCACUCACGUGGCUGCGAGUCUCCCUGUUGCCACAGGAACAGCCUGAACUGAAUGGCCCUUUCAUGGGGCAGUGGGAGGCAAGCCAAUUGGCUGGGAUCCCCCAUACCCCUCCCUGCCCAGUGCGGGGGGCCCCUGCUGCCCAGCUCCUUUCACUGUUUACCCAGAGCUGGCAAGUACAGGCAUGCAGCUCCAGGCAGCGCCUCUCCAGGUGUCCGCCACCUUGGACAAUGGGGGCAGUCCCCUGCCCAGCUCCUCCUCCUGGCCAUCUUCACUGAGGUGUCCUGACCCUUCCUUCUCUGUCAGAGAUUCCUGUUGCUUUGCUCAGUUUCCCUCUCCUGGGAGGUGCAGCAGAGUUCCUCUGCACAGAGGCACUGGGCUUCCUGUCAGGGCAUCUGAGCCAAGCAGCUGUCACCCCAGCUGGCUGGUGCUGAUCACCUCUGAACCAGGCCCCAGGCAUGUUGAGUACUUCACAUGCAGCUUCUGAGUCCAUCUUCUCUGCAGUCUCACAUCAGCUCUCAUCGGCCCUUGCCAUGUGACGCAUUCUUCUAGAUGUGCUUCAUACACAGAGCACCCCAAAAAGUCUUAGUGCAGGUUUAAGCUGGGAUUCUUUCAGACAUAAAUGUCUCCAACUUACACACCUCUUUGGACAGAUUAAAUUAUUUAAAUUAAAAUUUAAAAACAUUUUCACAAUUAAAAAAUAAAUAUACAAGAAAUUUAAAUAUGGAAACUUUCAAAUGAAGUUUUUAGCAUUCAUAUUUCUGAAGUUAUUAAAGCUUAAAACUGCACUAAGGCUUGGGACACAGUGCAUUAACUCACUGAAUCCUCCCUGCUCCUUUAAGCGGUAGGUGCUGUUAUCACGUCCAUUUGCAGAUGAGGAAGUUGGCGAUGCUGGGAGUGAUGUGGAUUUCCCAAAGUCACACUGGGAGCAGUGGCAGAGCUGGGCUGGACUCGUGCUCUGUCUGCUAUAUCUGGCCUGAAGCCCAGACCCCUGCUUCACUCUUCCCUGGCUCUCCAUGGGACGGGUCAGGACUGGGACCUGUGGGUGGGGUUUGAGGGAAGGACCACCACAGGAUCCAGGUGUCCGUCAUCCAGUAACAGCAUGCGGUGUACAGACUCUGGCAGGAGCAGCCCUCUGGAUUUUCCACUGCAGGUGAAUGAAAGUGAAGCCAGGUGCAACUCGAGCCCCAGAACAAUACUGAUAGGCCGAGAGAUGGUCCAGGAAGCCUCCAUUUCACCCACUGUGCCAAGCCCCUGCAUGUCCCCUGGCACCAGCAUCUACCCCAGCUCGGGGCCUUGGGUCCCUGGCCUGGUUAUGAGCAAGUCCCUAGCCUCCUACCCUGGCUGCAGCUUGGCCCACUCCUCAAGGUACCCAUGCUGGGUGAGUCAGGGGUUAAAAUGAACCCUGUCCCCGUGGGGCAGCCAACCCCUUUGCUUCAGCCACUGUCAUUUCCUGUUGCUCACAUGAAGGGCUCCCUAACCUGCCCAGCCAGGGGAGGGACUUGCUCCCCAGGAAUUCCAGGCGCUCCUGGCCCUGGGGGCAGGGGAUGGGUGAUGCCCCACAUCCCAGUAACCUUCAUGGCUUCUCUCUGCCCAGAUCUGCUUGGCUUUCUGGGGUGAAAGCCUGCUUUGCUACUGGGGCCUGGAUAGAGAGCCUCUAGCUGAGUUUCAGAAGCACGCCUAAACAGGGUUAAGUCUCUUCCCUCCUACUCAGGUGCCCGGAAAAGGUGAGUGGGGAGUCCCAGCCAGUCCCGCCAGGUGGUUGGGAGCCCCCACAGUGGUGACCUCAGAGCUUCCUAAAGCCACUUGCUAACAGCAUCAGAAUGUGCUGACCUUGAAGGACAAGGUGGGUGAGAGGGGGCCCUGUAUCCUUCCAUCUGCACUCUGACCCUGCCUCCCAGCUGCUUGGGUCACCUGCUGCACUAUCUGGGCACAAGUGUCUGGUCCUGGAGGAUGGGAUGAGGGAAUCCUGGCAGGUGUAGAGGACAUGGGUAGAGUAGGGGAUGGGGGGGCGGGGGCAUAUUUAUGCUCAAACAGUCCUUGAACUCCGCCUACUCCUCUCAGGCCCCAGGGCCUGGGCUGGCCUCCUCCCCUCCAGCCUGUCACUAGGCUUUGUCUAUCAGGGGCUAGCACCCGCUGAUCCACCAGCCUAAUCCUCUUGCCUCCCCUGGCAGGGGGUCAUCCAAGGGAAUUUGGGUCCAUUUCUCUUUCUUGUGCUCCCAGUAGUUACCCAAGAGCUGGGGGAGGGGAGGAGGUAAGAUAAAGAGACUGGAGAUUAAGGCAAGAAUCCUGACUGGUGGAGAAGAAGUGGAUGGGCCCAGGGCAGUUUCUAUAGGGUGCUCCUUGAUUUGGGGUUGUGAGUGGGUGGGCAUCUAUACACUUCCAAGACAAGGCAAAGAAAUGGGCCUCCAGGUAGUAUUGGGAUCCUUAAAUUCUCUUUUCCAAGCACCUCUGCCCAGGUACUCUCCUGGUGCCCCCUCCCAAGGGGAGAGCCCCGGUCUCCUUCCUUCUCCUCUA